Molecule: long non-coding RNA, 674 nt
Filed under: Populus trichocarpa (black cottonwood)
Lineage: Eukaryota; Viridiplantae; Streptophyta; Magnoliopsida; Malpighiales; Salicaceae
Description: long non-coding RNA (PTRI_LNC001748)
Source: RNAcentral
UGAAUCUUUGAGAGCUUCUUCAAUAGACUUAGGAAUCUGUACACUGUCAAUGGCUGAAACAAAUGCAUGAUAGGUUGGUGAUAACCCUUCAUAUGAAACAAAUUUGCUGAUGGGAUGACUUGUGCAUGAUCUAACACCCUUUCUCAAAGCAAUUGGAAUAUUUGAAUCAUUAAUAACAGAGGCAGUAUUCUCACAGUCAGAAGUUUCCAUACCUGAGUAUAUUGGGGCAGAAUCUGGACUUGGUUCUGAAUCUUGGUCAUGUGCAAGAGGUAUUGUGUGCUCUAUCUCCUUUCCAAGUUUUUUUCUUCUAGAAUAAGUAAGAAGCUCAAGAUUUGUGAUCUGUUUUGGUGUAGGAUGAAUCUGGUCAGGAGAUUGGACUGAGGCUGGUGGUGCUGGGACUGAUUGGAUUGAGGCUGGAGGUGUAGUGUAAGGACUCAAAUGACUUUGGACAAGACUCUGUUGGUUGUCUCCUGAGUUAAUUACAUGAUCAGAUUGUAUAUCCCAAUUCUGAUAUUCUCUCAUGGUUGCCCCCUGAAGAUCAGAUUUGGGAUAGUAUGCUUGGUGUUCAAAAAAUGUGACAUCCAUAGAGGUAUAGACCUUUUUUAGAACAGGAGAGUAACAUUUAUAACCCUUUUGGUGUGGAGAGUAUCCUAUAAAAAUGCACUUGAGAGAGG